This 500-nucleotide ribosomal RNA is filed under the name uncultured bacterium. RNAcentral's name for it is "partial 16S ribosomal RNA". It matches the Rfam family "Bacterial small subunit ribosomal RNA", at positions 30 to 523 of the family's 1533-position model. The record is from RNAcentral.
AUUGAACGCUGGCGGCAGGCCUAACACAUGCAAGUCGAGCGGAUGACGGGAGCUUGCUCCUUGAUUCAGCGGCGGACGGGUGAGUAAUGCCUAGGAAUCUGCCUGGUAGUGGGGGACAACGUUUCGAAAGGAACGCUAAUACCGCAUACGUCCUACGGGAGAAAGCAGGGGACCUUCGGGACUUGCGCUAUCAGAGGAGCCUAGGUCGGAUUAGCUAGUAGGUGAGGUAAUGGCUCACCUAGGCGACGAGCCGUAACUGGUCCGAGAGGAUGAUCAGUCACACUGGAACUGAGACACGGUCCAGACUCCUACGGGAGGCAGCAGUGGGGAAUAUUGGACAAUGGGCGAAAGCCUGAUCCAGCCAUGCCGCGUGUGUGAAGAAGGUCUUCGGAUUGUAAAGCACUUUAAGUUGGGAGGAAGGGUUGUACGUUAAUACCGUGCAAUUUUGACGUUACCGACAGAAUAAGCACCGGCUAACUCUGUGCCAGCCGCCGCGGUAA